GAUCAAUUUACUAUAUAUAUAUAUAUAUAUAUGCACAUAUGUAUCUAUAUAUAUACAGCAAAGACUCUAAAACAAGACAUUUCCAAGCGAUAAUAAAGGCUUAAUAAUCAAGACCACUAUGAUAUAUUGCUUAGGUCGUAAGAACUGUUAACGUUAUUUUUGAACUGAGUAGGAAAAGAUUUGUAAUCAGCUUCUCAAACUGAAGUGGGAACAAGCAGGAGUCCUGUCUCCUGUGCUAGAGGACUUCCCUACCAGACAAGUGCACACCACCCUGCUGGGCCCUGGCUGUUCCCCAGCACCACUAGAAUUCCCAACAGGACGGCACAGUGUAGCAGCUGGAAAGUGUCUCUGUGCAACUUGAUUUAACUUAAAGAGCAGAAUUACUCACACAGGAUUCAAUUAUAGACCCAAUUCUACGCAGUUCACAGCCAGAAGAGAGGAAAGAAAGGACCACAUUAGGUACAGUCAUAAUGGUUCUGCAAUUUCUUACUAUGUAGAAUGUUAUCUACAUAGAUCCAGAGCCUUUCAACAAUAUCUUCCUGCAGUUCAAGCUUUUUCUUAUAAAAUGCAACCAAUGACUGCCUUG
This 586-nucleotide long non-coding RNA is filed under the name Mus musculus (house mouse). Its description in RNAcentral is "predicted gene 45732". Lineage: Eukaryota; Metazoa; Chordata; Mammalia; Rodentia; Muridae. The record is from RNAcentral.